UCCGGUUUGGCACCGGCAGUCUCCAAUGAGUCCCCGCCAUUACGCGCUGGCAACACAGGACAAGGGUUGCGCUCGUUGCGGGACUUAACCCAACAUCUCACGACACGAGCUGACGACAGCCAUGCACCACCUGUAUACCGACCACAAGGGGGGCCGUAUCUCUGCAGCUUUCCGGUAUAUGUCAAACCCAGGUAAGGUUCUUCGCGUUGCAUCGAAUUAAUCCACAUGAUCCACUGCUUGUGCGGGUCCCCGUCAAUUCCUUUGAGUUUUAAUCUUGCGAUCGUACUCCCCAGGCGGCAUAUUUAACGCGUUAGCUUCUCAGCACAGAGGGUCGAUACUCCAUACUAAUAAUAUGCAUCGUUUACGGCGUGGACUAC
RNAcentral lists this unclassified non-coding RNA (377 nucleotides) under uncultured bacterium. RNAcentral describes it as "contains 16S-23S intergenic spacer region". The record is from RNAcentral.